CAAUAGCGUAUAUUAAAGUUGUUGCAGUUAAAAAGCUCGUAGUUGGAUUUCUGGUGGGAGCGAUCGGUCUGGCGCUUAGCGCGAGUACUUGCAUCGUCUCCGGCCAUCCUUGGGGAGAGUCUGUCUGGCAUUAAGUUGUCAGGCAGAGGAUCCUCAUCGUUUACUGUGAAAAAAUUAGAGUGUUCAAAGCAGGCUUAUGCCGUUGAAUAUAUUAGCAUGGAAUAAUAAGAUAGGACUUUGGUACUAUUUUGUUGGUUUGCGCACCAAAGUAAUGAUUAAUAGGGACAGUUGGGGGUAUUCGUAUUCCGUUGUCAGAGGUGAAAUUCUUGGAUUUACGGAAGACGAACUACUGCGAAAGCAUUUACCAAGGAUGUUUUCAUUAA
Molecule: ribosomal RNA, 383 nt
Filed under: uncultured eukaryote
Lineage: Eukaryota
Description: partial 18S ribosomal RNA
Rfam family: Eukaryotic small subunit ribosomal RNA
Source: RNAcentral